Molecule: ribosomal RNA, 460 nt
Filed under: uncultured bacterium
Lineage: Bacteria
Description: partial 16S ribosomal RNA
Rfam family: Bacterial small subunit ribosomal RNA
Source: RNAcentral
CCUACGGGUGGCAGCAGUGAGGAAUAUUGGUCAAUGGGCGUAAGCCUGAACCAGCCAAGUCGCGUGAGGGAUGAAGGUUCUAUGGAUCGUAAACCUCUUUUAUAAGGGAAUAAAGUGCGGGACGUGUCCCGUUUUGUAUGUACCUUAUGAAUAAGGAUCGGCUAACGCCGUGCCAUCAGCCGCGGUAAUACGGAGGAUCCGAGCGUUAUCCGGAUUUAUUGGGUUUAAAGGGUGCGUAGGCGGACUUUUAAGUCAGCGGGGAAAGUCAUGGGCUCAACCAUAGAAUUGCCGUUGAAACUGGGAGGCUUGAGUAUGUUUGAGGCAGGCGGAAUGCGUGGUGUAGCGGUGAAAUGCUUAGAUAUCACGCAGAACACCGAUUGCGAAGGCAGCCUGCCAAGCCAUGACUGACGCUGAUGCACGAAAGCGUGGGGAUCAAACAGGAUUAGAUACCCUUGUAGUC